Molecule: ribosomal RNA, 528 nt
Filed under: uncultured bacterium
Lineage: Bacteria
Description: bacterial SSU rRNA
Rfam family: Bacterial small subunit ribosomal RNA
Source: RNAcentral
UAGAGUUUGAUCCUGGCUCAGAGUGAACGCUGGCGGCAGGCCUAACACAUGCAAGUCGAACGGCAGCACAGAGGAGCUUGCUCCUUGGGUGGCGAGUGGCGGACGGGUGAGGAAUACGUCGGAAUCUGCCUAUUUGUGGGGGAUAACGUAGGGAAACUUACGCUAAUACCGCAUACGACCUACGGGUGAAAGUGGGGGACCUUCGGGCCUCACGCAGAUAGAUGAGCCGACGUCGGAUUAGCUAGUUGGCGGGGUAAAGGCCCACCAAGGCGACGAUCCGUAGCUGGUCUGAGAGGGUGAUCAGCCACACUGGAACUGAGACACGGUCCAGACUCCUACGGGAGGCAGCAGUGGGGAAUAUUGGACAAUGGGCGCAAGCCUGAUCCAGCCAUGCCGCGUGUGUGAAGAAGGCCUUCGGGUUGUAAAGCACUUUUGUCCGGAAAGAAAAGCUUAGGGUUAAUAACCCUGAGUCAUGACGGUACCGGAAGAAUAAGCACCGGCUAACUUCGUGCCAGCAGCCCCGGUCAA